This 460-nucleotide ribosomal RNA is filed under the name uncultured bacterium. RNAcentral's name for it is "partial 16S ribosomal RNA". It matches the Rfam family "Bacterial small subunit ribosomal RNA", at positions 338 to 795 of the family's 1533-position model. The record is from RNAcentral.
UCUACGGGCGGCAGCAGUGAGGAAUAUUGGUCAAUGGCCGAGAGGCUGAACCAGCCAAGUCGCGUGAGGGAAGACGGCCCUACGGGUUGUAAACCUCUUUUGUCGGGGAGCAAAGAGAGUCACGUGUGACUCAUUGAGAGUACCCGAAGAAAAAGCAUCGGCUAACUCCGUGCCAGCAGCCGCGGUAAUACGGAGGAUGCGAGCGUUAUCCGGAUUUAUUGGGGGUAAAGGGAGCGUAGGCCGCAUGUCAAGCGUGCUGUGAAAUGUCCGGGCUCAACCCGGGCCUUGCAGCGCGAACUGGCGUGCUUGAGUCCGCGGAAGGCAGGCGGAAUUCGUCGUGUAGCGGUGAAAUGCUUAGAUAUGACGAAGAACCCCGAUUGCGAAGGCAGCUUGCUGCAGCGGAACUGACGCUGAUGCUCGAAAGCGCGGGUAUCGAACAGGAUUAGAUACCCGUGUAGUC